This 253-nucleotide ribosomal RNA is filed under the name uncultured bacterium. Its description in RNAcentral is "partial 16S ribosomal RNA". It matches the Rfam family "Bacterial small subunit ribosomal RNA", at positions 524 to 776 of the family's 1533-position model. The record is from RNAcentral.
UACAGAGGGGGCAAGCGUUGUUCGGAAUUACUGGGCGUAAAGGGCGCGUAGGCGGCCAUCUAAGUCAGACGUGAAAUCCCCCGGCUUAACCUGGGAACUGCGUCUGAUACUGGGAGGCUUGAGUAUGGGAGAGGGAUGUAGAAUUCCAGGUGUAGCGGUGAAAUGCGUAGAUAUCUGGAGGAAUACCGGUGGCGAAGGCGGCAUCCUGGACCAUUACUGACGCUGAGGCGCGAAAGCUAGGGGAGCAAACGGG